CCUACGGGAGGCAGCAGUGGGGAAUAUUGGACAAUGGGCGCAAGCCUGAUCCAGCAAUGCCGCGUGAGUGAUGAAGGCCUUAGGGUCGUAAAGCUCUUUUACCAGGGAUGAUAAUGACAGUACCUGGAGAAUAAGCUCCGGCUAACUCCGUGCCAGCAGCCGCGGUAAUACGGAGGGAGCUAGCGUUGUUCGGAAUUACUGGGCGUAAAGCGUACGUAGGCGGUUAUUCAAGUCAGAGGUGAAAGCCCGGGGCUCAACCCCGGAACGGCCUUUGAAACUAGGUAGCUAGAAUCUUGGAGAGGUCAGUGGAAUUCCGAGUGUAGAGGUGAAAUUCGUAGAUAUUCGGAAGAACACCAGUGGCGAAGGCGACUGACUGGACAAGUAUUGACGCUGAGGUACGAAAGCGUGGGGAGCAAACAGGAUUAGAUACCCUGGUAGUCCACGCCGUAAACGAUGAUAACUAGCUGUUCGGGCACUUGGUGCUUGAGUGGCGCAGCUAACGCAUUAAGUUAUCCGCCUGGGGAGUACGGUCGCAAGAUUAAAACUCAAAUGAAUUGACGNGUUGAGUAGUUGCGACGCGACGACGAGGGAGGAG
Molecule: ribosomal RNA, 595 nt
Filed under: uncultured bacterium
Lineage: Bacteria
Description: bacterial SSU rRNA
Rfam family: Bacterial small subunit ribosomal RNA
Source: RNAcentral